UUCCAUAACGCGUUUCGUCUAACAGACUUUAUCAAAUGGAAUAUAAUCAUAUUAUAUUCCAUUUGAUAAAGUCUGUUAGACGAAACGCGUUAUGGAA
Molecule: microRNA precursor, 97 nt
Filed under: Pelobates cultripes (western spadefoot toad)
Lineage: Eukaryota; Metazoa; Chordata; Amphibia; Anura; Pelobatidae
Source: RNAcentral